UGGGGAAUAUUGGACAAUGGGCGCAAGCCUGAUCCAGCAACGCCGCGUGGAGGAUGAAGGUCUUCGGAUCGUAAACUCCUGUCAGACGGGACGAAGGUACGAGGGUGAAUAAUUCUCGUGCUUGACGGUACUGUCAGAGGAAGCCCCGGCUAACUCCGUGCCAGCAGCCGCGGUAAUACGGAGGGGGCGAGCGUUAUUCGGAAUUAUUGGGCGUAAAGGGCGCGUAGGCGGCUGAACAAGUCAAAGGUGAAAUCCCUCGGCUCAACUGAGGAACUGCCUUUGAAACUGUUCGGCUUGAGGCCGGGAGGGGGUAGCGGAAUUCCCAGUGUAGCGGUGAAAUGCGUAGAUAUUGGGAGGAACACCAGUGGCGAAGGCGGCUACCUGGACCGGUUCUGACGCUGAGGCGCGAAAGCGUGGGUAGCAAACAG
This 428-nucleotide ribosomal RNA is filed under the name uncultured bacterium. RNAcentral describes it as "bacterial SSU rRNA". It matches the Rfam family "Bacterial small subunit ribosomal RNA", at positions 355 to 775 of the family's 1533-position model. The record is from RNAcentral.